This 253-nucleotide ribosomal RNA is filed under the name uncultured bacterium. RNAcentral describes it as "partial 16S ribosomal RNA". It matches the Rfam family "Bacterial small subunit ribosomal RNA", at positions 524 to 776 of the family's 1533-position model. The record is from RNAcentral.
UACAGAGGGUGCGAGCGUUGUCCGGAAUCACUGGGCGUAAAGGGCGCGUAGGCGGCCCGAUAAGUAGGGGGUGAAAUCCUGCGGCUUAACUGCAGGGCUGCCUCCUAGACUGUCAGGCUCGAGCACGGUAGAGGCAGAUGGAAUUCCCGGUGUAGCGGUGGAAUGCGUAGAGAUCGGGAAGAACAUCGGUGGCGAAGGCGGUCUGCUGGGCCGUUGCUGACGCUGAGGAACGAAAGCUAGGGGAGCAAACAGG